ACCAUCUCCUUUUGGCCUUGAUGGGCCAUUCCUUUUCUGCCCUAGCGUAAGCGUCAUUUCUGCUGUAGUCUUUAUGACGCAGAGUUAAGACGUUUAGCCUAGAGCAAUUCUUUCCCUAGUGAAUGAGGUCCCAACAAGACCACAGAACUCUGAUCCUUCUGGGUUUCCAGGAGUUCUUGCCUGGAUGUUGCGAACAAAGCUUGUGAGGAAGAUGCUUCUUUAGCUUGACGUCUCUUGUCAUCUGAAAACCAAGCUUUCUAGAAAAUCCUAAGCAACAAGACCAGGUUUUCUGCGAACAGGAAAAACAUUCCUCUUUUACACUUUGUGUCCUGAUGGAUUUAGAGUGAAAAUGGACUUGUUCUUCUGCACCAGUUCCGUAAGGGAAAAGGUGAACUUGGCGUAGCCAUAGGGCGAACAACGAUGACAGCAAUGACCCUUCCUUAGGCCUAAAAACAGCUAAGGCCUCGUUCUAGUCCUGGGCUCUUUUGCCUAAGAUUCGUUCCCUUUUCUUAGCAGAACCUUCCGUUUCUUGGAAAGGAAAAGGUUGGGUGGAGUAACGAAUUUCCUAGGCUAUUUGAGCUUCUUGUCUUAAUUGAGGAAAGCUGUUGUUGUCUAUGAAGUCUGCCUGGGACGACAUCCUUUUCAGUGAACUUGGCAAGAACUGGCACGCCUGUUUUCUAAAAACACAGAUGCUAGAAGACUUAGUGUCCAGUACUGCCAAAGUCUCCUACUGGCAGCAGUAUCUUGACUGUGCCAAUGUACCCUAACUUCUUGUUGUUUCAUUGGCAACCAGGGAAGUAUUAACGAUGUCAGUCCUUUACUGGA
This 825-nucleotide ribosomal RNA is filed under the name Kudoa konishiae. RNAcentral describes it as "partial large subunit ribosomal RNA". Lineage: Eukaryota; Metazoa; Cnidaria; Myxozoa; Multivalvulida; Kudoidae. The record is from RNAcentral.